CCUACGGGUGGCAGCAGUAGGGAAUCUUCCACAAUGGGCGAAAGCCUGAUGGAGCAACGCCGCGUGGGUGAAGAAGGUCUUCGGAUCGUAAAACCCUGUUGUUAGAGAAGAAAGUGCGUGAGAGUAACUGUUCACGUUUCGACGGUAUCUAACCAGAAAGCCACGGCUAACUACGUGCCAGCAGCCGCGGUAAUACGUAGGUGGCAAGCGUUAUCCGGAUUUAUUGGGCGUAAAGGGAACGCAGGCGGUCUUUUAAGUCGGCGGUCAAAGCCCGGGGCUCAACCCCGGCCCGCCGUUGAAACUGGCAGUCUCGAGUUGGAGAGAGGUAUGCGGAAUGCGCGGUGUAGCGGUGAAAUGCAUAGAUAUCGCGCAGAACUCCGAUUGCGAAGGCAGCAUGCCGGCUCCACACUGACGCUGAGGCACGAAAGCGUGGGUAUCGAACAGGAUUAGAUACCCGAGUAGUC
Molecule: ribosomal RNA, 464 nt
Filed under: uncultured bacterium
Lineage: Bacteria
Description: partial 16S ribosomal RNA
Rfam family: Bacterial small subunit ribosomal RNA
Source: RNAcentral